GGGCCGCGAUUCGCCCUUGCCUAACACAUGCAAGUCGAACGAUUAAAGCUCUCUUCGGAGAGUGCAUAGAGUGGCGCACGGGUGAGUAACACGUAAGUAAUCUACCCUCGAGUGGGGAAUAACAUCGGGAAACCGAUGCUAAUACUGCAUAAUGCAGCGGCACCGCAAGGUGACAGUUGUUAAAGAUUUAUCGCUUGAGGAGGAGCUUGCGGCAGAUUAGCUAGUUGGUAAGGUAAUGGCUUACCAAGGCUACGAUCUGUAACCGGUCUAAGAGGACGGUCGGUCACACUGACACUGAAUAACGGGUCAGACUCCUACGGGAGGCAGCAGUCGGGAAUUUUGGGCAAUGGGGGAAACCCUGGCCCAGCAACGCCGCGUGAAGGAUGAAGUAUUUCGGUAUGUAAACUUCGAAAGAAUAGGAAGAAUAAAUGACGGUACUAUUUAUAAGGUCCGGCUAACUACGUGCCAGCAGCCGCGGUAAUACGUAGGGACCAAGCGUUGUUCGGAUUUACUGGGCGUAAAGGGCGCGUAGGCGGCGUGACAAGUCACUUGUGAAAUCUCCGGGCUUAACUCGGAACGGCCAAGUGAAACUGUUGUGCUAGAGUGCAGAAAGGGCAAUCGGAAUUCUUGGUGUAGCGGUGAAAUGCGUAGAUAUCAAGAGGAACACCUGAGGCGAAGGCGGGUUGCUUGUCUGACACUGACGCUGAGUGCGCGAAAGCCAGGGGAGCAAACGGGAUUAGAUACCCCGGUAGUUCUGGCCCUAAACGAUGAAUACUUGGUGUCUGGAGUUUUAAUACUCUGGGUGCCGUCGCUAACGUUUUUAGUAUUCCGCCUGGGGAGUACGCUCGCAAGAGUGAAACUCAAAGGAAUUGACGGGGACCCGCACAAGCGGUGGAGCAUGUGGUUUAAUUCGACGCAACGCGAAGAACCUUACCUACCCUUGACAUGCCUGGAAUCUUGCAGAGAUGUGAGAGUGCUCGAAAGAGAGCCAGGACACAGGUGCUGCAUGGCCGUCGUCAGCUCGUGUCGUGAGAUGUUGGGUUAAGUCCCGCAACGAGCGCAACCCUUGUCAUUAGUUGCUACGAAAGGGCACUCUAAUGAGACUGCCGGUGACAAACCGGAGGAAGGUGGGGAUGACGUCAGGUCCUCAUGGCCCUUAUGGGUAGGGCUACACACGUCAUACAAUGGCCGGUACAGAGGGCUGCCAACCCGCGAGGGGGAGCCAAUCCCAGAAAACCGGUCGUAGUCCGGAUCGCAGUCUGCAACUCGACUGCGUGAAGUCGGAAUCGCUAGUAAUCGCGGAUCAGCUUGCCGCGGUGAAUACGUUCCCGGGUCUUGCAACACACCGCCCGUCACA
Molecule: ribosomal RNA, 1357 nt
Filed under: uncultured bacterium
Lineage: Bacteria
Description: bacterial SSU rRNA
Rfam family: Bacterial small subunit ribosomal RNA
Source: RNAcentral